CAGCCGCCGCGGUAAUACGUAGGUGGCAAGCGUUGUCCGGAAUUAUUGGGCGUAAAGCGCGCGCAGGUGGUUUAAUAAGUCUGAUGUGAAAGCCCACGGCUCAACCGGGGAGGGUCAUUGGAAACUGGGAAACUUGAGUGCAGAAGAGGAGAGUGGAAUUCCACGUGUAGCGGUGAAAUGCGUAGAGAUGUGGAGGAACACCAGUGGCGAAGGCGACUCUCUGGUCUGUAACUGACGCUGAGGAGCGAAAGCGUGGGGAGCGAACAGGAUUAGAUACCCCCGUAGUCCCUGUCUCUUAUAC
RNAcentral lists this ribosomal RNA (301 nucleotides) under uncultured bacterium. RNAcentral describes it as "partial 16S ribosomal RNA". It matches the Rfam family "Bacterial small subunit ribosomal RNA", at positions 509 to 807 of the family's 1533-position model. The record is from RNAcentral.